This 60-nucleotide microRNA precursor is filed under the name Lingula anatina. RNAcentral describes it as "Lan-Mir-96-P1_pre stem-loop". The record is from RNAcentral. Lineage: Eukaryota; Metazoa; Brachiopoda; Lingulata; Lingulida; Lingulidae.
CUUGGCACUGGCGGAAUGAUCACGUGAAACUCCAUAGUGAUUUUUCCCUGGUGCCAACCG